AGAGUUUGAUCCUGGCUCAGGAUGAACGCUAGCGACAGGCUUAACACAUGCAAGUCGAGGGGCAGCAUGAUUUGUAGCAAUACAGAUUGAUGGCGACCGGCGCACGGGUGAGUAACGCGUAUGCAACUUACCUAUCAGAGGGGGAUAGCCCGGCGAAAGUCGGAUUAAUACCCCAUAAAACAGGGGUCCCGCAUGGGAAUAUUUGUUAAAGAUUCAUCGCUGAUAGAUAGGCAUGCGUUCCAUUAGGCAGUUGGCGGGGUAACGGCCCACCAAACCGACGAUGGAUAGGGGUUCUGAGAGGAAGGUCCCCCACAUUGGUACUGAGACACGGACCAAACUCCUACGGGAGGCAGCAGUGAGGAAUAUUGGUCAAUGGCCGAGAGGCUGAACCAGCCAAGUCGCGUGAAGGAAGAAGGAUCUAUGGUUUGUAAACUUCUUUUAUAGGGGAAUAAAGUGGAGGACGUGCCCUUUUUUGUAUGUACCCUAUGAAUAAGCAUCGGCUAACUCCGUGCCAGCAGCCGCGGUAAUACGGAGGAUGCGAGCGUUAUCCGGAUUUAUUGGGUUUAAAGGGUGCGUAGGUGGUGAUUUAAGUCAGCGGUGAAAGUUUGUGGCUCAACCAUAAAAUUGCCGUUGAAACUGGGUUACUUGAGUGUGUUUGAGGUAGGCGGAAUGCGUGGUGUAGCGGUGAAAUGCAUAGAUAUCACGCAGAACUCCGAUUGCGAAGGCAGCUUACUAAACCAUAACUGACACUGAAGCACGAAAGCGUGGGGAUCAAACAGGAUUAGAUACCCUGGUAGUCCACGCAGUAAACGAUGAUUACUAGGAGUUUGCGAUACAAUGUAAGCUCUACAGCGAAAGCGUUAAGUAAUCCACCUGGGGAGUACGCCGGCAACGGUGAAACUCAAAGGACAUUGACGGAAGGGCGA
RNAcentral lists this ribosomal RNA (926 nucleotides) under uncultured bacterium. RNAcentral's name for it is "bacterial SSU rRNA". It matches the Rfam family "Bacterial small subunit ribosomal RNA", at positions 8 to 924 of the family's 1533-position model. The record is from RNAcentral.